UGCCAAACCUGGUGCCCUGUGUU
Molecule: non-coding RNA, 23 nt
Filed under: Mus musculus (house mouse)
Lineage: Eukaryota; Metazoa; Chordata; Mammalia; Rodentia; Muridae
Source: RNAcentral